RNAcentral lists this ribosomal RNA (500 nucleotides) under uncultured Glomeromycotina. Its description in RNAcentral is "partial small subunit ribosomal RNA". It matches the Rfam family "Eukaryotic small subunit ribosomal RNA", at positions 591 to 1092 of the family's 1831-position model. Lineage: Eukaryota; Fungi; Glomeromycota. The record is from RNAcentral.
CCAAUAGCGUAUAUUAAAGUUGUUGCAGUUAGAAAGCUCGUAGUUGAAUUUCGGGGUUAGUAGGCUGGUCGCGCCACUGGUAUGUACUGGUCUCACUGAUUCCUCCUUCCUGAUGAGCUGUAAUGCCAUUAAUUUGGUGUUGCAGGGAAUCUGGACUGUUACUUUGAAAAAAUUAGAGUGUUUAAAGCAGGCUAACGCUUGAAUACAUUAGCAUGGAAUAAUGAAAUAGGACGUUCGAUCCUAUUUUGUUGGUUUCUAGGAUUGACGUAAUGAUUAAUAGGGAUAGUUGGGGGCAUUAGUAUUCAAUUGUCAGAGGUGAAAUUCUUGGAUUUAUUGAAGACUAACUACUGCGAAAGCAUUUGCCAAGGAUGUUUUCAUUAAUCAAGAACGAAAGUUAGGGGAUCGAAGACGAUCAGAUACCGUCGUAGUCUUAACCAUAAACUAUGCCGACUAGGGAUCGGAUGAUGUUAAUUUUUUAAUGACUCAUUCGGCGCCUUACG